Molecule: ribosomal RNA, 468 nt
Filed under: uncultured bacterium
Lineage: Bacteria
Description: partial 16S ribosomal RNA
Rfam family: Bacterial small subunit ribosomal RNA
Source: RNAcentral
GACGAACGCUGGCGGCGUGCUUAACACAUGCAAGUCGAACGGAAAGGCCCUGCUUUUGUGGGGUGCUCGAGUGGCGAACGGGUGAGUAACACGUGAGUAACCUGCCCUUGACUUUGGGAUAACUUCAGGAAACUGGGGCUAAUACCGGAUAGGAGCUCCUGCUGCAUGGUGGGGGUUGGAAAGUUUCGGCGGUUGGGGAUGGACUCGCGGCUUAUCAGCUUGUUGGUGGGGUAGUGGCUUACCAAGGCUUUGACGGGUAGCCGGCCUGAGAGGGCGACCGGCCACAUUGGGACUGAGAUACGGCCCAGACUCCUACGGGAGGCAGCAGUGGGGAAUAUUGCACAAUGGGCGGAAGCCUGGUGCAGCAACGCCGCGUGCGGGAUGACGGCCUUCGGGUUGUAAACCGCUUUCGCCUGUGACGAAGCGUGAGUGACGGUAAUGGGUAAAGAAGCACCGGCUAACUACGUG